Molecule: ribosomal RNA, 775 nt
Filed under: uncultured Neocallimastigales
Lineage: Eukaryota; Fungi; Neocallimastigomycota; Neocallimastigomycetes; Neocallimastigales
Description: partial large subunit ribosomal RNA
Rfam family: Eukaryotic large subunit ribosomal RNA
Source: RNAcentral
AGAGAGAGACAUGCGCGCAUAUCAAUAAGCGGAGGAAAAGAAACUAACUAGGAUUCCCUCAGUAACGGCGAGUGAAGCGGGAAGAGCUCAAAUUUGAAAUCUUCAAGGUUCUACCUUGACGAAUUGUAGUUUAAAGAAGUGUUUUCUGUUGGAGUUUUGGUAAAAGUUCUUUGGAAUAGGACAUCCAUAGAGGGUGAGAAUCCCGUAUUUGACCAUUAUUUCCAACUUUGUGAUACACUUUCAAAGAGUCGGAUUGUUUGGGAAUGCAGUCCAAAAUGGGUGGUAAAUUUCAUCUAAAGCUAAAUACUGGCGAGAGACCGAUAGCGAACAAGUACCGUGAGGGAAAGAUGAAAAGAACUUUGAAAAGAGAGUUAAACAGUACGUGAAAUUGUCAAAAGGGAAGCGUUUGACACCAGUGUUGUUUUCUCGAAAAUCAAUUAAAAAUGGCAGGAUUUCGUGUUGUAUUGACUUUAUCAGCCUUCUGCACUUUUUUCUUGUCUUUUUUAAUGCACUUUUCGUUUAACAAGUCAACAUCAAUUUCUUUUGCUGUAAAAGGGUCAUUGGAAGGUGGCUUUCUUUUCGGAGAAAGUGUUUAUAGCCUUUGACUUCUGCAAUCGGAGAGAUUGAGGUCUGCAGCGUAGAUCCUUCGGGGUUAGAUGCAUUUGUGCUAAGUUAUAGCCUCUCAUAGACAACUUGUUGACUAUGAUCAGUCAUGUAGCUUACUCGCUUAUGCUAUUUUACCUACGCUUAGGAUGUUGACAGCAGUAUAGACUGU